GGCUUAACACAUGCAAGUCGAGCGGAAACGAUGAUAGCUUGCUAUCAGGCGUCGAGCGGCGGACGGGUGAGUAAUACUUAGGAAUCUACCUAGUAGUGGGGGAUAGCUCGGGGAAACUCGAAUUAAUACCGCAUACGUCCUACGGGAGAAAGCAGGGGAUCUUUGGACCUUGCGCUAUUAGAUGAGCCUAAGUCGGAUUAGCUAGAUGGUGGGGUAAAGGCCUACCAUGGCGACGAUCUGUAGCUGGUCUGAGAGGAUGAUCAGCCACACCGGGACUGAGACACGGCCCGGACUCCUACGGGAGGCAGCAGUGGGGAAUAUUGGACAAUGGGGGGAACCCUGAUCCAGCCAUGCCGCGUGUGUGAAGAAGGCCUUUUGGUUGUAAAGCACUUUAAGCAGUGAAGAAGACUCUUCGGUUAAUACCCGGGGACGAUGACAUUAGCUGCAGAAUAAGCACCGGCUAACUCUGUGCCAGCAGCCGCGGUAAUACAGAGGGUGCAAGCGUUAAUCGGAAUUACUGGGCGUAAAGCGAGCGUAGGUGGCUUGAUAAGUCAGAUGUGAAAUCCCCGGGCUUAACCUGGGAACUGCAUCUGAAACUGUUAGGCUAGAGUAGGUGAGAGGGAAGUAGAAUUUCAGGUGUAGCGGUGAAAUGCGUAGAGAUCUGAAGGAAUACCGAUGGCGAAGGCAGCUUCCUGGCAUCAUACUGACACUGAGGCUCGAAAGCGUGGGUAGCAAACAGGAUUAGAUACCCUGGUAGUCCACGCCGUAAACGAUGUCUACUAGUCGUUGGGUCCCUUGAGGACUUAGUGACGCAGCUAACGCAAUAAGUAGACCGCCUGGGGAGUACGGCCGCAAGGUUAAAACUCAAAUGAAUUGACGGG
This 881-nucleotide ribosomal RNA is filed under the name Psychrobacter sp. K2-28-054. Its description in RNAcentral is "bacterial SSU rRNA". It matches the Rfam family "Bacterial small subunit ribosomal RNA", at positions 45 to 917 of the family's 1533-position model. Lineage: Bacteria; Pseudomonadati; Pseudomonadota; Gammaproteobacteria; Moraxellales; Moraxellaceae. The record is from RNAcentral.